CACCGCCCGUCACACCAUGGGAGUUUGUUGCACCAGAAGCAGGUAGCCUAACCGCAAGGAGGGCGACUACCACGGUGAGAUUCAUGACUGGGGUG
RNAcentral lists this ribosomal RNA (95 nucleotides) under uncultured bacterium. RNAcentral's name for it is "partial 16S ribosomal RNA". It matches the Rfam family "Bacterial small subunit ribosomal RNA", at positions 1388 to 1482 of the family's 1533-position model. The record is from RNAcentral.